CAUUUGUCUGUGCAGCUUUGAGCUACACAUGUCAUUUAUUUUUUAAACUAGUUUCAAGGUUUGAGUAGCCCAGCUGUGCUGUUAGGAGACUAUUCAACACCCGCCAUCCCUUUCUUUCUUAAUUUAAACUACACAAUUGUAGCAGUAACUGGCCUUGUGGGACUGGAUUUCCAGCUGGUGGUGAACUGUCAUCAGUUGUAGGCUACUCCAGCAGUCUCCGCCUCCUCACUGAUGAUUAUUUAGCCACGGCUAGGUGACACCACUCCAAUCAGGUGGAUGAAAGAGGAAGGCUGCCGGCUGCUGCUGGGAAAGCUUUCACACUGCUAAGAAGGGAUAUCUCUUUCCCUACGGAGAAUACCAGUGUCAGCAAACGACUCCAGCAGCUGUGGCAGGUGAAAAAGCAUAACACUCUGAAUAUGAAAGUGCUCUACAGUUUAGCAGAACACCACAUUCUCAGGAUGCUGUUCUUGAGAAGCCCUGGCGCCACACAUGGAAAUUGGUUGGCUGUCCCUGCAGGACUGGAACCUCAGUGUCUCUCUUUCCUAGCACUUAACCUCCUCCACGCAGCACUAAGCACAAUGCCCUGAAAUCACCGCUGUCUAUGCUCCAAGGUGCGCGCCAGACUCUGCUGUGGCUCUUGCUCACGACAAAACUCCCCUGGCUCCUCUGGAGAGGCCUAAUUCGUAAUUCCCUCCAAGACCGUCAGACCCUUCUCAGUGUGUUCCUCCUUCAGGCAGAAGACACUCCCUUCCAGGAUGCUCUUUAGGGAACCUUAGAAGAAACCACUGCCCACAAAUUGUCCCCCAUGGAAGCCGAGACGGUCAUCGUUGGGGUGCAGCAUGGAGCUGCGCGGCUCACUCUUUAGAAAGACCCAGCGCAAACCUCACUCAGACACAGACUCCAGGGAGCCCCUGCUCCCCCCACCAAUACGAGAAAUCAUUCGCUGUCUUCAGGACUCAUCCUGCGCCUGCUCUCCCCGUGUGCCUGCCUGGAGAACUCAAAGUCAAAACUAGCUCAGUGGUUCUGCUGCUUGCUGCGCAAGCGCAAGGACCCGAGUUCGAUCCCAGGUAACAAAAAAACCAAACCAAAACAAAACAAAACAAAAAAACACACAAAAAACAAACUAAUGCUGACCGCGCACAUUGCUAGGCUCCGCGUGUUUCCUCUUCCAGGAAGCUCAGCACCACCCCAAAAUCCCCAUCAGUCCUCUCUGCGCUGGAUGGGAAAUAGAGAGCACCAGAUUCCUGGAGACAUACUGACCUUAAUCUGAGAAGUAACAUGCUUCCCCCUUGUUUAUUUUUCAGACUCUGGUGCUAGAAACACAUUUUAAGGGUCUAGUUAAAUUGUUGAGGUUGCUAAUCCCUAGUCAAGUAGCUCCGGAUUGAGUAUAGAUUUUGGUGGGCCAGCCAACUUCAGCAGCGCAUACAGCAACCAGCUCCCCGGGUUCCUCCUAGAUUUAGGGAAUUCUGGCUGGGCAUCUGUCGGGGGGAUUCCGUGUACGCAAGCAUAGUGCAAAUGUAAUUAUCUCUGAGUGCAUAGGCCAUUUUAUAGUCUUCUAGGAACAGCUAGGAAAAUCAUAUUUUGUCAUGUUUAUGAUGCUAAGACUUCUACUUUCUGAAAUAGCACACACAUGUACUGGUACACAGUUGAUGUAGAAAAGUAUAGCUUUUUACUACAGUCUCUAGAGCUACUAUAUACCAGAACAGACAAGCUACUUCAGCACUCUGCCUCACUUUUCUUAUUUAAAGAAAAACAAUAACAUUUUAUAAAAUAAAAUAAUCUAUGACUUCCCUUGAACCCAUGCAAUUACUUUCUUUUAUGGAUAUUAGCUACAUUUUAAUUACUAAAAUUUUAUGAACACUACAUCUAGGAUUUUAUGCUCAUGCACAGUUUUCAUAUAUGUUGAAUAAAUUGAAAUAAAUUUUUACAAGAACAUGCCUUAUUCAAAUUCCAAAAAGUGCUAAAUAGAGUAGGUAUGUAACACACCACUAGAUGAUAUGUUCUUUACAGUGUUAAGUGUGUUAUCACAACACAUGUUGGCAGGAUAACAUAUAAAUCAUUGCCUUUUAAUGAGCUCACAGUGACAAUUUGUGGGAGGUGGCCAUCCUAAAUUUUGAGCUCUACAAUUCCUUUCAGUUGCCUCAGUUAGAAUUUCUUAGCAGAAUCUCUUACACAAUCAGCCUCUGCCUGGCCUA
This is a long non-coding RNA of Heterocephalus glaber (naked mole-rat), 2195 nucleotides long. The record is from Ensembl. NCBI's taxonomy places the organism in Eukaryota, Metazoa, Chordata, Mammalia, Rodentia, Bathyergidae.